RNAcentral lists this transfer RNA (75 nucleotides) under candidate division WWE3 bacterium CG_4_10_14_0_2_um_filter_41_14. Its description in RNAcentral is "tRNA-Glu". It matches the Rfam family "tRNA". Rfam says of the family: Transfer RNA (tRNA) molecules are approximately 80 nucleotides in length. Their secondary structure includes four short double-helical elements and three loops (D, anti-codon, and T loops). Further hydrogen bonds mediate the characteristic L-shaped molecular structure. tRNAs have two regions of fundamental functional importance: the anti-codon, which is responsible for specific mRNA codon recognition, and the 3' end, to which the tRNAs corresponding amino acid is attached (by aminoacyl-tRNA synthetases). tRNAs cope with the degeneracy of the genetic code in two manners: having more than one tRNA (with a specific anti-codon) for a particular amino acid; and 'wobble' base-pairing, i.e. permitting non-standard base-pairing at the 3rd anti-codon position. Lineage: Bacteria; candidate division WWE3. The record is from RNAcentral.
GCCGCCAUCGUCCAGUGGUUAGGACAUCGGGUUCUCAGUCCGAAAACACGGGUUCAACUCCCGUUGGCGGUACCA